AGUUUAUGAUCAUUGUUUAAUAAUGAUCAAGGACUUGGAUGAGCUUGAGAAGCUCAGUAUGUCCAAGCACAAGAAAUUGCGAAUGAAUUUGAUCAUGUAGUUCCUUACUAGUUCAUAUAGAUAGUUUAUAAUACACUACCACAUAAAUUAAACCGAUUGCACCUUGGUUGAGUUGGUGACUAUAGGUGGGAUCUUAAAGAGUUCAAGGAGAAGGGUUCUUAUGUACUUAGAGAACCUAUAGAAAAGAACAAGGGACAUGCCUUUGAAAGGUAUGUUAGAUCUGCUCGAUAUUAGUGUUUGAGUAGAUGGUGACUGCCAUA
Molecule: long non-coding RNA, 320 nt
Filed under: Elaeis guineensis (African oil palm)
Lineage: Eukaryota; Viridiplantae; Streptophyta; Magnoliopsida; Arecales; Arecaceae
Description: long non-coding RNA (EGUI_LNC066911)
Source: RNAcentral